Molecule: ribosomal RNA, 301 nt
Filed under: uncultured bacterium
Lineage: Bacteria
Description: partial 16S ribosomal RNA
Rfam family: Bacterial small subunit ribosomal RNA
Source: RNAcentral
CCGCCGCGGGAAUACAGAGGGUGCGAGCGUUAAUCGGAUUUACUGGGCGUAAAGCGUGCGUAGGCGGCUUUUUAAGUCGGAUGUGAAAUCCCUGAGCUUAACUUAGGAAUUGCAUUCGAUACUGGGAAGCUAGAGUAUGGGAGAGGAUGGUAGAAUUCCAGGUGUAGCGGUGAAAUGCGUAGAGAUCUGGAGGAAUACCGAUGGCGAAGGCAGCCAUCUGGCCUAAUACUGACGCUGAGGUACGAAAGCAUGGGGAGCAAACAGGAUUAGAUACCCCAGUAGUCCCUGUCUCUUAUACACA